This 432-nucleotide ribosomal RNA is filed under the name uncultured bacterium. RNAcentral's name for it is "bacterial SSU rRNA". It matches the Rfam family "Bacterial small subunit ribosomal RNA", at positions 28 to 508 of the family's 1533-position model. The record is from RNAcentral.
GACGAACGCUGGCGGCGCGCUUAACACAUGCAAGUCGAGCGCCCCGCAAGGGGAGCGGCAGACGGGAGAGUAACACGUGGGAACGUACCCUUUGGUUCGGAACAACCCAGGGAAACUUGGGCUAAUACCGGAUAAGCCCUUACGGGGAAAGAUUCAUCGCCGAAGGAUCGGCCCGCGUCUGAUUAGCUAGUUGGUGGGGUAACGGCCCACCAAGGCGACGAUCAGUAGCUGGUCUGAGAGGAUGAUCAGCCUCACUGGGACUGAGACACGGCCCAGACUCCUACGGGAGGCAGCAGUGGGGAAUAUUGGACAAUGGGCGCAAGCCUGAUCCAGCCAUGCCGCGUGGGUGAUGAAGGCCCUAGGGUUGUAAAGCCCUUUCGGCGGGGAAGAUAAUGACGGUACCCGCAGAAGAAGCCCCGGCUAACUUCGUGC